CCCGGGGGACGGCGGCCCACACUGCGGGUUCGAAUCUGGGCGCUGGCACCUCUCGACGCUAGGCCCUAGGGCCGCGCCGGUCGCGGAUUUGGGGUGGAAGGCAGGCAUGGUCAAACCCAUUUCACUGACAGGAGAGCAGAGACAGGACG
RNAcentral lists this small RNA (149 nucleotides) under Pongo abelii (Sumatran orangutan). RNAcentral's name for it is "processed transcript". Lineage: Eukaryota; Metazoa; Chordata; Mammalia; Primates; Hominidae. The record is from RNAcentral.